Molecule: long non-coding RNA, 538 nt
Organism: Oxyura jamaicensis (ruddy duck)
Lineage: Eukaryota; Metazoa; Chordata; Aves; Anseriformes; Anatidae
Exons: 3
Source: RefSeq, a predicted model, not a curated record
AUGCCGCCCAUCCCCGUCGCCUCAUGCCCUCCGCGGCCACGGCGCCCGGCGGGGCGCUCCGCCGCCGGCCUCUACCUCAUCUCCCCCCCCCCCUCCCCGGCCCCAAAACCGGGGGGCUGCCUUCGGGGGGGGGGGAAAGGGGGUGAGGAAGAGGAGGGGGGUCGUAAUGCUGCUUGCUUCCUUGGGGGGGGGGGGCUGCGUGUGGGGAGGAGGGCAGCGGGACCUGCCAGGGAUGCCCGGGGAUGCCGUCCCGCGGCCCUCGGAGCCGGAAUCCCGUUUAAGGAGCCGGGAGGGGGAAAGGGCUCGGGGUUGGGGGGGGAGGAAGAGGAGGAGGAGGAGGAGGGUGGUUGGGGGCCGGGGGGGGGGGCGGUGGGAGGCGGGGGUGGGGGUGGCGGAGCGCAAGGAGCCGGGCUCGGGAGCAACUUUCCCUGCAGGGCUUUGUGGCGGUGGGGGCCGAGCCGCCGCGGAGGGCGGUGCGGGGCCGCCCCGCUCCAAACUUCGCACCAAUCCCGGGCAGCCCCCGCCCUCCCCGCCGAGC